RNAcentral lists this ribosomal RNA (253 nucleotides) under uncultured bacterium. RNAcentral's name for it is "partial 16S ribosomal RNA". It matches the Rfam family "Bacterial small subunit ribosomal RNA", at positions 524 to 776 of the family's 1533-position model. The record is from RNAcentral.
UACGGAGGGGACUAGCGUUGUUCGGAAUUACUGGGCGUAAAGCGCACGUAGGCGGAUUUGUAAGUCAGGGGUGAAAUCCCGAGGCUCAACCUCGGAACUGCCUUUGAUACUGCAAAUCUCGAGUCCGGAAGAGGUGAGUGGAAUUCCUAGUGUAGAGGUGAAAUUCGUAGAUAUUAGGAAGAACACCAGUGGCGAAGGCGGCUCACUGGUCCGGUACUGACGCUGAGGUGCGAAAGCGUGGGGAGCGAACCGG